GAACACAAGAUUUUCUGGUCGGCGCACGAACGCCGCUACGGGCGUACGAACGCCCCAAUCCUUUACUUCUUUACAGUGGCUACAUCGCUACUUUGUUUUUCCCAGCCCUCACGGCUCACUUUUCUCAUUCAUCUUCUCCAACUUAAAUAGCUAAGUACAAGACUGACCCAAGCACUUGCCAGCCGCCACUCUCGCAGCUGCUAACGCCCACUAACUCAUGCACUAGGCCACUAAUCACAACUAACUCAUGCACGCAUGCACCACACCGGCCACUAUCACAUGACCGGGCGACUAACCCACUAGCUACAUGCAUGCAACUAGAUAACUACCUUAUCCAUGCACUCCAGGACUCGGCAACUCCACCGGACGCCCCGCUCGUAGCAGCCGCGGGACUUGCUGCUAACGAAACCACGCACAUCAAGAUUAGUGCUAACAUUUCCCCCCUUAAUCUUGACACGCCUUGCCGUCGACCGUCAUCUUGAACGCCUGAGCUCGACGUCUUCACACGCCUCCGCGCCCGCUGCGACGUGCCGUGCGCCCGCCUGUCACCGGAGUUGAUGCAGCUUGCGUCGUCGUCGUCACGGCCGUGACCCAGCCUGCGGACCCGACCCGACGCAUCGACGCCGGUCACACCGCCACGGACCCGACCUGGCGCACUGACGCCGGUCGCACCGUGCUCCCUCACGACCCCGGCGACAUACGCCGAGCUCCUCCGCCGGCGACACACGCCUGGCGUCCCUCUGCGUCCCGCACGUCCCGCACGCAUCCGACGUGCCCGACGAGCCCGACCGCAGCAGUGCGUCCCGCACGUCCCGCGCGCAUUCGACGCGCCCGACGAGCCCGACAGCACCAGACGCUCACCACGUGCCGCCUCCGCGUCCGCCAUGGCAGCCACCACGCCGCGCCUACGUGCCACGCACCUUCCACGGUCGUUGCCCCGAGCCGUCGCGACCUAUGCGCCACCACGCAGGUCCUUCGCGACCUCCUCGUCUCCGCGACCGCCGUGCCCUUCGCGCACACUCCCCACGUCCCCGCGCUCCCAGCCCGCGCUCCCGCCGCGCACGUACGCGGUCUGCGCAACCAGGUCCAGCGCCUCGACGCGGUCCACUCCCGCGGUCCCGACGCGCUCGACACGUCCAGUGCGCGCCCAUAACACGCACCGGUCGCGUCCGGCUCGCCGCCACGUCUUAUUGCCCUGCACCGCUGCGGCCUCCAUGCCGCCAUGCCGUGCUGCGCCGCCGCGCCACCACGCAGCGCCUCGGCGGCCUCCGCGGUCGCCGCACGUACGACGUCACCGCCCGCCGCCUCCGCCACGCGCCAUGGCAGUCACAGCGCCGCCCACCUCCAUAGGCCGACACACGACCCGGAGCUCCAACGCGCAGCCGCCGGCGAGCGCCGCCAUCGCUGCCACGCCUCCGGCACGGCGAGCACGCCCAAGACACCAAGCUCAUGAUACCAAAUGUUGAAACCGCAGCCCUCUCUCACUCUCGGCUAGAGGAAGAAGAAGAACACGGACACAAGAUUUUCCGGUCAGCGCACGAACACCGCUACGGGCGCACGAAACGCCCCAAUCCUUUACUUCUUUACAAUGGCUACAUCGCUACUUUGUUUUUCCCAGCCCUCACGGCUCACUUUUCUCAUUCAUCUUCUCCAACUUAAAUAGCUAAGUACAAGACUGACCCAAGCACUUGCCAGCCGCCACUCUCGCAGCUGCUAACGCCCACUAGCUCAUGCACUAGGCCACUAAUCACAACUAACUCAUGCACGCAUGCACCACACCGGCCACUACCACAUGACCGGGCGACUAACCCACUAGCUACAUGCAUGCAACUAGAUAACUACCUUAUCCAUGCACUCCAGGACUCGGCAACUCCACCGGACGCCCCGCUCGUAGCAGCCGCGGGACUU
This 1908-nucleotide long non-coding RNA is filed under the name Triticum aestivum (bread wheat). RNAcentral describes it as "long non-coding RNA (TAES_LNC015624)". Lineage: Eukaryota; Viridiplantae; Streptophyta; Magnoliopsida; Poales; Poaceae. The record is from RNAcentral.